Molecule: ribosomal RNA, 515 nt
Filed under: uncultured bacterium
Lineage: Bacteria
Description: bacterial SSU rRNA
Rfam family: Bacterial small subunit ribosomal RNA
Source: RNAcentral
AGCGCAAUGGGCGAAAGCCUGACGCAGCGACGCCGCGCGAAGGAUGAAGGUCUUCGGAUUGUAAACUUCUUUUGUCGGGGGAAGAUAAAUGACGGUAUCCGAUGAAUAAGCCACGGCUAACUCUGUGCCAGCAGCCGCGGUAAGACAGAGGUGGCAAGCGUUGUUCGGAAUUACUGGGCUUAAAGGGCGCGUAGGCGGUGGAGUAAGUCUGAGGUGGAAGAUUAGGGCCUAACCCUAAAAUUGCCUUGGAAACUGCAUCACUUGAGUCAGCGAGGGGAUGGCGGAAUUCCAGGUGUAGCGGUGAAAUGCGUAGAUAUCUGGAGGAAGGCCGGUGGCGAAGGCGGCCAUCUGGCGCUGAACUGACGCUGAGGCGCGAAAGCGUGGGGAGCAAACAGGAUUAGAUACCCUGGUAGUCCACGCCCUAAACGGUGGGUACUAGGUGUAGGGCUCGCAAGGGUUCUGUGCCGUAGGGAAACCAUUAAGUACCCCGCCUGGGGAGUACGGCCGCAAGGUUG